This 7114-nucleotide long non-coding RNA is filed under the name Setaria italica (foxtail millet). Its description in RNAcentral is "long non-coding RNA (SITA_LNC000577)". The record is from RNAcentral. Lineage: Eukaryota; Viridiplantae; Streptophyta; Magnoliopsida; Poales; Poaceae.
CUUGCCCCAUGGUGACGUUAAAACCAAUAGCAGAAGCAAAAGCCAUAUUGCUGCCGACGUCUAUAGAAGUGAUCUGAGUGGUACUGUUUCUCAAGAAGAGCAUAGGAGGACGAGCUGUCUGGUUGCAGGUGAGCUCGAAGCCUUGCCGGAAGCAACCAGAGCCUAUCCCGAAGGGAUAGGAGAUUUCGACAUCCCCGCAGUGGGUGGGGCAGCUAAUCAAGGAGCCAUUGGAAGGGAUAUGCAGGAUGCCGUUGCUGCUAGCGUCUCCAUGGACGGCCGUGGCCAGCGCUCGCGGAACAGCGGCCAAGCAGGCGAGCACAGCACACAUGCCAACUAGAACUCCGGUGGAGGACAUCGUUGUAUAUACGGGUGACCUGUAAGCUUCGUGUGUUUGUGUAUCUGUGGCUGGUGUUGGGAUCGGUGGGUAACAAAAUGAGAGGCAGCUUGUGGCAAUGUGCACUGUCUACACCAUAUAUACUAUUGUUAUCCUGAGACUGCACAAGCAGUAGAGGGGUUUGUGCUGUUAAUCCAAGGAGGAAGUGAGCAUGGAAUUCCAGGGGCAGCAGUCCCAUCAGAUGUUACGGUCGUCGCUGGGGCCAAAAAAAUACAAGACUCGCCAAUAACCUGCGUUGUUGACUUGCUGGUCCACGCCUAUUGCUGACGGGCCAUGUGUUUCGAUCUGAUAUCUUCUCACUUCAUCAAUAGGACCGGAGUAAAGAUAUCCCUGUCAUCCUAAGCUAAACGUUCUGGUUAACUAUAACCUCACCUACUGGUAAACUUGAUGCUAACAUAUAUCAACCGUGGACUGACUACGUACAUCACUUACAUGGUCUGUCUAGUCUUCUCACGAGUACUCCAGAAAAUCCAUCUCAAAAUAAAAAAGGAAGUGUCUCUACGCUACGCAUAUCACAAUCCUUACAGCAGGGUAAAAGGGACCGAAUACCACCCGGCGUAUAUGGUCCAGGUAAAUUACCCGUCAUCAUCAAUCAAAAAACCUCACAAGUCAGUCCUGCAGCAAUCACGGGGACUGACUCUAGUACGGGACAGUAUUUCCUACGAGCAAGAUAGCAGGACGAAAGCAAUACGGUGAGAGCAGAGAUUUCGCGUCGAACCUCUCACUUCACUAGAAUGUACUGUACUAGUAUUUUCUACGCACGUGAGAGGGUGAGAGUUGAUAUUUGCGGAGCGGAUGGAAUUUUCAGUGGACGCUCCCCUCCUCUGAAAAUCCCAUCUCGUUUUCUCGUGGAACGUGCAGCAACCGCUAAUCACAAGUCGACCGGUCAAGUGUGCGGUAAUCCGAAAAUUUUGGCCGCUCCUGGAGCGCUCCCAAUCGCGGAUCGCCCGCCAGUUUUCUCGCCUCCUUCCGUUGAGGACGGCGCCUACGUUGGAUUUUGAAUUGCUCCAUCCGUUUAUCAUGCGGCGAUCGAGAAAAAGAAAACAAAGGUUGUGACGAGAGAGGAUGACGUGGAGAAGAGAAGAGGCUCGGACCCAUGAAUUGAUGACAUAGCAACACUUUAAUUUUUUUGAACCAAACUUUUUUGGAAACUGUUGGGUAAGAAAGUCUUUUUUCCACCCAAUAAUUAUUGUCAAAGUCCAAAAAUCAGUUUUUUGACUUCUAUUUUUUUUUUCACCCUCUGGAGAUGCUCUAACGUCCGAAAUAACUUUUAAAAUAGUUUUGGAAACUGAUCCAAAAACUCUUUUUCCAACAGCGGCCUGAUCACGGCGCCAAAAUUCUGCACGCUCAAAACCCACGGCCGCGAGAGCCAAAUUUCAUUUCUGAAGAAGGAUCGCGCUCCCAAUCGCGGAGGUUGAGGGAAGAAACGUCGAUCCGUCCGUGCGCAUAAUUUUUCUAGCCUGCCCGCAUGCUGUGAAGAUCGUCGGGGCCUGUUUAUUGCACUGGCGUGCCGCCGCCGCCCGCCGGUCAUCGAGUCCGGGGCCAACACUGUUUCGUCUCGUCCGUGGAGCAGAGGGCCUUCGCGCAGCUGCGGGGAUGCGGAGUAGCAGGGUCCGGCCAUCGGUCAUCGGGAAAUGUCAGAAGAUCUCUGAAAAAUUCAGGCAUGAUGAGGGAGUUCAGGAGCCUGCCUCUGCCAUGUUCGUUCUACAGUUUCUUUGCUGUCUGGGUUCUGCUAUUUCUUUUUCCUUGAAGCUAUUCUGUCUGGAACUCUGGAUUCUGUCAUUUCCAUUUCUGCAUAUUAGAGUGUAAUUGAUUGUGAUUUUAAAUGGAAUUUAACUCAAAUAUGAUAGCUGACAAGAGCUCAGACAAAUCGCAUACCGGUAAUGCAGACAAAUCACAUACCGGUAAUGCGGCACUAUCGGGCUGAAAAUAACCCUCCUCGGCCCACGGGGGUGCUUUGCGGGCACUUCACGAAGCACGCACGGUCAUCUAAUAACAACUUUUGAGCCCGAACCUCGUGCUGCCGGGCACCACUACGCGCCGCCGCUCCUCGUCCUCAUCGCCGCAGACUAUGCCCAGCGGCAGCGCCGCUCUUCGCUAUCGAGGUCGCCGCAGCUCGACAGAGCAAGUGGAAUCGGCAGGGCGGGGCAGGCUCCUCGCGCUCGGGAUCUUCUCCCAGCUCAUCCCACACUCCCAGUGCGAGGAGCAGCCGGCCGACACGGCCCCGUGGCAUUGGCCACUGUCGUCUCCUAAAAUUGGUACGCUCCCUUGGCACAUGGCCAUCUCAAUGGAAUGUAUUGCUUGAUUUAUUGACAAAAUGGUUUGGUACGAAAUAUUCUGAAGGUAGGUACUGAUCCGCGCUCGCUCACAAUGUUACAGAAGAUUAUAAAUCUAAAAUACGGCAAGCUAACUGGUUUUCUAUAUGCAGAACAGUUGCAUAUGCAGUGUUAUUAGCUAGAGUGUACUUUUCAGAUCAGCAAAUGGAGUUUUAAAGUUCUCUGUUCAACACUUUUCGAUAGUGUCACAUGAAAAGACAUGCAACGGAAGAGUGGGGUUCCUAUUGCCCUGAUGCCGUCACGGCGUUAUGCCAGAUCUUUGAGUUAUGAGUGUCACUUCAUAGUAAUCAUGCUAAUACUUUGCAAAAAGAUGCCGUAAUAUGUUGCAGCUUAAAUCAUAUUCCGUAUAUCAGUCAGCGGUCUACUGGAACCACCUAUUAAGCCACUGGCAAUUUACACCCAAUUGUUACUGGACUCGUUGAUAACCACAACAGUUUUCUUAUACAAGCGUUGAUAACCACAACAGUUUUCUUAUACAAGCUUAUCUUUAGUACUGUAACUUAUGUACAAAUAUAAAAAGUAUACAACAGUCGCGGUCUACAAUAUAUUGUACACGUGAAAUGCAUCUAUGUGAUAUAGUAUCAUCGAAAGGAAAGUAAUAUAAUGUGAAUCUUCAAUAAAAUACAUGAUACCUCAGAUGCAUUAUAUUCAAUUAGCGUGGCAAAGAUGCAAAUUCUUGCUCCAAACUGUAGCACCCAGAGCUCCCAGCAUUGACAAGAUCGAUAUGCCCAUAUAAGUUCUUAUCUUGUGGGCAUAACAAAGGCUCAAUAUCUGCAUCUUUUUCAGCUAAACCUUUUCUAAGUCUCUUUGUUCUUAGAAAUUGCAACCUCAUAUCUACUUCUUUCAUAGUCGGUCUGUCUCCUCCUUUGACCCUUAAGCAUGCUUCUGUAAGUGAGGCGAUUUCAUUAAUCUCUUCCUGGUCUGCCUCUUCCACAACUUGUUUAUCCAGUAUUUCUACAAGGGACCCUGCAUGAAGUCCUUCAAUGAAGUAAUGUGAUAGGCUUUGUUUAGCACCUAAAUCAUUGAUAAAAAUUGGCUUCUUCCUUAUCAAAAGUUCAACAAGUAUUACUCCAAAACUAUAUACAUCACUCUUUUCAGUAAGCUGACCAGUAUGAUAGUACUCUGGGUCCAAGUAGCCGAAUGUACCUUGGACAAUCGUAACCACAUGAGUCUCAUCAAGCGAAAUAGAUCUUGAAGCACCAAAGUCUGAGACCUUUGUGGUGAAGUUGUCAUCCAAGAGUAUAUUUGAAGACUUAACAUCUCUGUGGAAAAUUGGUAUUGUAGCAGCUGAGUGUAGAUAAGCAAGUGCCCCUGCUGCUUCCAUUGCAAUCCUAAUGCGAUCAUCCCAUGAAAGCAAGCAUUUUACUGUAGUAUCAGAGUGAACACCAUUUCCAUGUGGANNNNNNNNNNNNNNNNNNNNNNNNNNNNNNNNNNNNNNNNNNNNNNNNNNNNNNNNNNNNNNNNNNNNNNNNNNNNNNNNNNNNNNNNNNNNNNNNNNNNAUGAACUCAUAGACAAGCAUGGGCACCUCAUCUUCUAGGCAGCAACCAAACAGUUUCACCACAUUACGAUGGAUGAUUUGAGACAAAAUAACAACCUCAUUGAUAAACUGGUCUAUCUCUAUUUGUUCCACUAUUUUGGAUUUUUUUAUCGCCACCACACGUUGGUCAGAUAAAAUCCCUUUAUAAACCGUGCCAUGUCCUCCACGACCAAGAACACGAGUAGCAUCAAAGUUGUUUGUUGCCUCCUCUAGUUCCUCCAAUGAGAAUAUUUUAGUUUUGCUUGUGGUGCUUUCAUCAGAGAUCAAUUGCUCCAAUAGCAGGCCUUGAUUUUUCUUGAAGUGUGCUCUUCUGAUUCUCUUUUGGAUGCCCCUUUUCCACUUAUUGGCAAGUACGAUUACACCCAAUGCAAUAAUUAUGGAGCCAAUGCCACAACUGAUUCCAAUUGCAAUACCUGUAUGCAUUCGCCAUUCUUAUGAAAUCAUACUAAUGUUUAUAAAUUGCAAUUGCAAGGUGCUGUUGUUUGCUUGACACUUACCCAAAAUAAGAUUCCGUUGCUUAGUUGAUGUAACACACCGCUUCUUUGUCCAAUCAAAUUCUUUAUUAUGAGGGCACGGUGUGCACUUAUAGGUCCCAGGAAAGUUUUGACAUGUACCAUUGCAGUAGUUUGGCAGGGAGCAUUUGGCAGGGAGCAUUCAUCAAUAUCUGUAGAUAACUCAUUCAAUAUAUAUGUUAAUGGUUCGGAUCUAUGCUUGCAUUAUUACUGAAUUGAUUUACUUUCCUUCUAUUUUCAAGUACAAGCGAUGUUAGUUCUGUACGCGUACCGAAGGAGAAGCCGGAUGUACCUGUGCAGCCGGUUCUUUAUAAUAUUUUGAAAAAUGAGAUGCUGUUCAAAUAUAGUUUAGGAGAGAAAUAUACCUGUACAAUUGUUUUGCAGGUAUGGAUUUCCAUGGAAGCCAUCAUUACACUUGCAGAGAUACCCAUAAUUUGUUUUCCCUCGCCUGACAUCUUGGCAGUUACUGUUGUCACUGAUACACGCAUAGUACAUUUCUUUACUUUGCUUAGCUUGUUGACAAGUCAAGUUUGCAACAACCCACUUUAUUACUAUUUCAUCUUCCUGUGAGAAAUCAUAAAUACCAUCCACAACCGACGGCAUAUAAUAAGAGUACCGAAAUCCGUUAGUACCAUCAUAGUUGGAAUUGACUAUCCUUUCCAUGUUAUUGUAGCUUGUGUCAUUCAGCAUGUUGCUAACAGCCAGAGACCCAUCAUCAAGUGAUAUACGAGUCACACGAUAUUGUGCGUACCGACGGUCAAGAACGGUGCCAUCACUUGUGCAGUUGAGUCGAAAGUUAUCAUUUGCAUAACAGCCUUCUUCAAUCCCAAAUGGGAACGGAAUACUAAUGUUCCCACAUGAUCUUGUACAGUUCUCUUUGGGCGUUGAAUCGUAAGCUGCUUCAUGACAAAUAAAUAAGGUGAGGAAGUAAGACUAAAUCUAAAGAAAUUAAUAAGGCUACUUUAGAAGAAAAAGAUUCUUCUGGUUUCACAAGCUCUGUGAGACAAUAAAUAUUUUCAAGCUGUAGCUAGCCAUAAAUUGCAUGACAAGCCAAACUGCGGCGGCAAAAAUCCCAUGCCAUGCUUGUACGUGGCUAGAAAAGACUCGAUGUUGCUAGCAACUAGAAAAUGUGUAACAUGCCGCAGCUUAUCACAAGCGAAACAAUAACCUUAUUUUUUUAUAGCAGCCGGACAUUUGAUGUGGCAACGGCAAUCAAACGAGGUACUCCCUCCGUUAAUUUGGAGAGUCAAAUUAUCUCAAGUUUGAUCAAAUUUAUGUAAUAAAGUACUAACAUUCAUGAUACCAAAUAGCUACCAUUAGUUUCUUCAUUAAAUAUAUUUUCAUAGUAUAUCUAUUCCGUGCUAUAAACUUUUGUGAUUUUUAUAAUUUUGGUCAAAUAUAAAAUGGUUUGACUCUCCAAGAAAGUUGGAAUGACUUAUAAUUUAGAAUGGAGGAGUAAAUCUCGAACUAUAUAUGCUGAAUUAUUUAAAAUAUCGUGAACAACAAGAAGCAACGAGGUAUAGACCUUUGCAGCCAUUUACGAUGUAGGGGUUGCCUUGCCCGUAAUUGAGGCAUGAGCAACUGUAGCCUCGUCGUAGAUCUUGGCAGUUGCUUUCAUCAUUACAAGCAUAACUAUCCUUAUUCACUCGGGCACGUUCACAAUUUGGUUGGUCCGUGAUGGCGAUCUGAAUUAUUGUAUCUUCAACAUUGCUCAUGUUUACCCAACUCGAGUAAAGAUCACCCAAAACGAAGCUAUAAUACUGUGGUAGUAAAACCUUGACAUCAUUUAGUUGCGCUCUUGUACCGUUGCGGCGGACGAUAUUAAUCAUAAAGGCUGGCAGGUCCCUCGUCAAAUAGAUGUUGCAGCAGCCAAUCCCAUCACGACAGGAGCCGAAAACAUUUGCCCUCUCCGUGGUCCGGUCAUCUGCGCAUAUGCUCAUGCAAGAACCAAUGAGGUCAGUCCAGUUAUUACCGAACAUGUAGACUUCGAGACCGCAUCCAACGACAUACAAAGCAUCGUUAAUUUCACUGAUAACAGCGCCACCAUCAGGGGUACCCCAGGACAUGUACGUGUCCACACCUUGCCCCAUGGUGACGUUAAAACCAACAGUAGAAGCAGAAGCCAUAUUGCUGCCGACGUCUAUAGAAGUGAUCUGAGUGGUACUGUUUCUCAAGAAGAGCCUAGGAGGACGAGCUGUCUGGUUGCAGGUGAGCUCGAAGCCUUGCCGGAAGCAACCAGAGCCUAUCCCGAAGGGAUAGGAGAUUUCGACAUCCCCGCAGUGGGUGGGGCAGCUAGUCAAGGAGCCAUUGGAAGGGAUAUGCAGGAUGCCGUUG